This 430-nucleotide ribosomal RNA is filed under the name uncultured bacterium. RNAcentral's name for it is "bacterial SSU rRNA". It matches the Rfam family "Bacterial small subunit ribosomal RNA", at positions 30 to 456 of the family's 1533-position model. The record is from RNAcentral.
AUUGAACGCUGGCGGCAUGCCUUACACAUGCAAGUCGAACGGCAGCACGGGAGCAAUCCUGGUGGCGAGUGGCGAACGGGUGAGUAAUAUAUCGGAACGUGCCCAGUCGUGGGGGAUAACGUAGCGAAAGUUACGCUAAUACCGCAUACGAUCUACGGAUGAAAGCGGGGGGACUCGCAAGAGCCUCGCGCGAUUGGAGCGGCCGAUAUCAGAUUAGGUAGUUGGUGGGGUAAAGGGCUCACCAAGCCAACGAUCUGUAGCUGGUCUGAGAGGACGACCAGCCACACUGGAACUGAGACACGGUCCAGACUCCUACGGGAGGCAGCAGUGGGGAAUUUUGGGACAAUGGACGCAAGUCUGAUCCAGCCAUUCCGCGUGCAGGAUGAAGGCCUUCGGUUGUAACUAGCUUUGUUACGGUAACGUAACGGUA